RNA transcript from Zea mays, 1018 nucleotides. It is a transcript of the gene named protein-like pseudogene, with no coding region annotated. NCBI's taxonomy places the organism in Eukaryota, Viridiplantae, Streptophyta, Magnoliopsida, Poales, Poaceae. The record is from RefSeq and is marked validated. The transcript has 5 exons.
ACAUUUCAAUCUCUCAGACACUAGACACUACCUAUCUACUCCAAGAUCCGCGGCGGCGUGCUGGCCUACUCUAAGAUCCGCCGGCGCGUCGUGGCGGCUCCUCCGCGUCCCGCCUCCGAGGCCGCGGGCGGCGUCAGGCUGAUCGGGGUGGCGCGCGGCGCCGGGGAGCGCCCCAUCGUAUUCGUGCCUCUCAAGCCUAGGCCAUGGAGGGGGUAUCAUCAGCUCCAGAAAUGGACGAGGCUAUCUCAACUGACCAAUCAAGCAGAUCAACAAAAAGAAGGGCUAAAGUGUGGGAUCAUGUUGAUUCAGAGCUAAUAGAUGGGAAAGAGAAGGCGGUUUGCAAAUACUGUAAGGCCCACUUAUCUUCUGCUGCGGGUAAAGCACAUUUCAUUAGUGAAGAUUUUGAGUUGCACAAAAAGAUUAUUGCAUUCAAGAAGAUUUCCUUCCCACAUACAUCUUAUGCUGUGCAAGAUGGUAUUACCUCUUGUUUGCUAGAGUGGGGAUUGGUUGGUGAUUUGUUUACCCUGACUUUGGAUAAUGCUAGUGUAAACAAUAGAGCAAUGAAAGAUAUGCGAGAUGCUUUGGGCAGCCAGAUGUUUUUCAGUGGUGAACACCUCCAUGUGAGGUGUUCUUCUCAUGUGCUCAACAUCAUGGUUCAAGCUGGACUAAAGGCUAAGGAGUUCCUUGGUGCUUCCGGUGACAAGCGAAAGGAAGUCAAUUAACUCUGAAUCAGUGGUUCUGCUGCAAGGUUACACACAACAUUUUAUUGAAUGGAAAGAGGACACUCGGUGACCACAAGAUCAUCAGAUGAUCAUUUGUUGAGCUCUGGAACUAAAUCCUCUCCGCAGGUGGUAACCAGGCGGGUUCCCAUCCGAGUUCCGAGGUCACUGUAAUGCUAAAUUGUCAAGUUCAGUUAUCUGAAUUCAGUUUGAGUUAUAAUUCUCAUCAAGCAUCAAUGUCACCAACUGUGUAGAAAUACUGAAUUUUAGCAUGGAGCGUCUUUAUAAACAUUUUAGCA